Balaenoptera acutorostrata (minke whale) is the source of this 3773-nucleotide long non-coding RNA. RefSeq lists it as uncharacterized. The record is from RefSeq and is a predicted model, not a curated record. The transcript is spliced from 7 exons. NCBI's taxonomy places the organism in Eukaryota, Metazoa, Chordata, Mammalia, Artiodactyla, Balaenopteridae.
GGAAGGAAGUCCCGCCCCCAUUCUAGACCCCGCCCUUAAUUCGCUGCGCGGGGCGGGCUUUCGCAGUCCGGGUACCGAGAGCGCGGACGGUGGGUGCAAUGGGUUGCGCGGGUAGGUCCUCCUCUCGGGCUUAGGGAGCGGGAGCAACAGGUGGAGCCCGCCGUACCUCCUCUGAAGGGGCUCUGUUCUACCUCAUGUAUGGGAACGUUUUCAUGCCUCGCCUGUUGCUCACUGAUGGUUGGGGAAGGUCUGGCUGCCUGCAAUAAUCAAGCUAAACUGGGUCCUUUGUUAUAUGCAGAGAAAUCAGCUUCACGGUAGUUAAUCUUUUUUUCGAUGUGGGGACCACCAGACCAUCUGGGAAACCUUUCCCACGCACUGUCUCUAUGUCCGGUGACUUUGGGAAGUCCUAAAGGACAACGGGGGAAUUCACCAAGCUUAGGUCGAGUGAGCCUCCCCACCACCCCGGAGCCAGCAUGGGACACAGCUGAACUCAUUUCUUGGAGGAACUUGCCAGUGUGUCCCCAAGAGCCUGGGUGGCAUAGUCUGUGCCCAACUGGUGCCUGAAGCCUACGGGGACUGCACUUCCUGUGCUCCGGACUUCCUCAUAGGUUGUCUUUCUAGCUGUCUUCUAGUGACAGGAAAUUCAGAGAAACCAACAGGCCUGUUUCUCCAGGAGGGGGAUGUCCCUCAUGCCCUGAAUUCUGCCAGGAAAGUAGACUGGAUACCAAGUGACGUGGAGGAGGGGCUCCUGCAACCUUGCUGUGAAAACCUCUCCCCUCUGUGUCCCAUGGACGUGUCACCCAGUAUCCCAGGGGAAACUGGAGCAGUUUUUGCUGAGCUGUUUGGGGCUGUUGUCCUAAAGCUAAGCAGGGGUGGGGGUGGGGGACAGACAGGUCCUAGGUCUGGUCCCUCAUGUCCUUGUAUUGCACAAGGGACAAAGCCUCAUUUCCCAGGACAUUCAAGCAUAUUCCAAGCAGAGGCCUCUUCCACCCCUGAUUCUGCCCCUUCUUUCAUUUCCUGCCCCUCCUUUUCCCCCCAGCUUCACACUGAGAUUCUCACUUUCCCCUUUUUUCUCCUUAUUCAUUCUUUCAUUCAAAACACAUUUACUGGGACUUCCCUGGCGGUCCAGUGGAUAGGACUUCGCCUUCCAAUGCAGGGAGUGCAGGUUCGAUCCCUGGUCGGGGAGAUAAGAUCCCACAUGCCUCACGGUCAGAAAACCAAAACACAAAACAGAAGAAAUAGUGUAAUAAAUUCAUUAAAGACUUUAAAAAUGGUCCACAUCAAAAAAAAUCUUAAAAAAAAAUAUUUACUGAGCUCCUGACCCAGGGGAAGACGACAGACAAAUCUACACUUUUCAUGAGACUUAUUCCACUAGGGGUAAGGAACAGAAAGAAGUAAGUGUAAUAAUAGCACCUAUUUUGUGAGUGCCUAUGUGCGUCCAAACUAAGGCACAUCAAGGGUAAUUCACUUGCCAAAGGUCACAACUAAGGAUUCCAACCCAGGCACUGGUCAGAGAUCAUGCUGUUAACCAGCAACCCAUACUGCCUCCUUGGUUAUUACAGAUAUGAGAUUAGGGCUCUGUGCCAUUUGUCAGCCAAGGUAAAAUGUUUUGUGCUAUAAAUUUGUAAAUCAUGGCAGGCAGGGGAAGGACGAUCUCAUAUAAAAUAAAGUUCACAAGAAUUGCAGUCGAGUUUUAUGAAAAGGAGGACUAUGGAUUUCUCACAUAUCCAAGAAGGGAUUUUGAAAGGGAAAAUAAUGCUCCCGCGGAAGACUCACCCACGCAGGCCUCACCCUUGCAUUAGCGUGCAAAGGUGAGUUCUACCUGGCACCAAGCCUGGGAAGAGAUAGAUUCACUUCCUCCUUGGACUUUUGGGCUUAGACGUCAUCCAGCAUGGAGGGGAUGGAAAAAGAGAUGCCAUGCAAAUGGAAAUCAGAAGAAAGCUGGAGUAGCAAUUCUCAUAUCAGACAAAAUAGACUUUAAAAUAAAGACUCUUCCAAGAGACAAAGAAGAACACUGCAUAAUGACUGAGGGAUCAGUCCUAGAUGAAGAUAUAACAAUUGUAAAUAUUUAUGCCCCCAACAUAGGGGCAACUCAAUACAUAAGGCAAAUGCUAAGGGCCAUGAAAGGGGAAGCUGACAGUAACACAGUCACAGUAGGGGACGUUAACACCCAGCUGGCGUCCUCGGCAGCCUCACUACCUGCAGAACUUCUGACACUGCUCUUCUUUCCCAGAUAGUGACCUCGCAGGGUAGGCAGGGCCGUAGGAGGUGGGGGAGGGGAGAGAGCAACAGGACUCCACUCACUGUAUCCCUCUCUGCUUCCAUCCAGGGCUGCUGUCACUGUGACCAGAGAAAGAUAGUGGUGUCCUUGGCUCUGCACCUAGUGUUCCCACACUGCCUCCAAGAUGUCAGCUAAAGCCAUAGAGAGCGGGGGAGGAGAUGCCACUGACCCCUUCCGGCCGGAAUCCCCCUCUGAUGAGGAGGAUGAACCUUCCCAGUCAUCCAACCAGGCCUCUGAUGGUUCUCCUGGCAAGCCACCACAGGGGCCACCCCAGGGGCCAGAUGGAUCUGGCUCUGACCCCAGAGACCCACCCAAGGAUGGAGGCAGCAAUUUCUCCCGUAAAGCAGGAACCUCCAUACUGUUCUCCAUAGCGGCUGUAUCAAUUUACAUUCCCACCAACAGUGCAAGAGAGUUCUCUCUCCUCCACACCCUCUCCAGCAUUUGUUGUUUGUAGAUUUUCUGAGGAUGCCCAUUCUGACCGGCGUAAGGAGGUGGACCAAAAAAGAUCUUGCUGUGAUUUAUGUCAAAGAGUGUUCUUCCUAUGUCUCCUCGAAGAGUUUUAUAGUGUCCGGCGGUCUUACAUUUAGGUCUCUAAUCCAUUUUGAGUUUAUUUUUGUGUAUGGUGUUAGGGAGUGUUCUAAUUUCAUUCUUUUACAAGUAGCUGUCCAGUUUUCCCAGCACCACUUAUUGAAGAGACUGUCUUUUCUCCAUUUUAUAUCCUUGCCUCCUUUGUCAUAGAUUAGUUGACCAUAGGUGUGUGGGUUUAUCUCUGGGCUUUCUAUCCUGUUCCAUUGAUCUAUAUUUCUGGUUUUGUGCCAGUACCAUAUUGUCUUGAUUACUGUAGCUUUGUAGUAUAGUCUGAAGUAAGGGAGUCUGAUUCCUCCAGCUCUGUUUUUUUCCCUCAAGACUGCUUUGGCUAUUUGGGGUCUUUUGUGUCUCCUACAAGUUUUCAGGUUUUUUGUUCUAGUUCUGUAAAUAAUGCCACUGGUAUUUUGAUAGGGAUUGCAUUGAAUCUGUAGAUUGCUUUGGGUAGUAUAGUCAUUUUCACCAUAUUGAUUCUUCCAAUCCAAGAACAUGGUAUAUCUCUCCAUCUGUUUGUGUCAUCUUUGAUUUCUUUCAUCAGUGUCUUAUAGUUUUGUGAGUACAGGUCUUUUGUCUCCCUAGGUAGGUUUAUUCCUAGGUAUUUUACUCUUUUUGUUGCAAUGGUGAAUGGGAUUGUUUCCUUAAUUUCUCUUUCUGAUCUUUCAUUGUUAGUGUAUAGGAAUGCAAGAGAUUUCUGUGCAUUAAUUUUGUAUCCUGCAACUUUACCAAAUUCAUUGAUUAGCUCUAGUAGUUUUCUGGUGGCAUCAUUAGGAUUCUCUAUGUAUAGUGUCAUGUCAUCUAAAAACAAUAAGUUUUAUUUCUUCUUUUCCAAUUUGGAUUCCUUUUAUUUUUCUUCUCUGACUGCUGUGGCUAGGACUUCCAAAACUGUGUUGAAUAAUAGUGGUGAGAG